GACGAACGCUGGCGGCGUGCCUAAUACAUGCAAGUUGAGCGCUGAAGGUUGGUCCUUGUACCAACUGGAUGAGCAGCGAACGGGUGAGUAACGCGUGGGGAAUCUGCCUUUGAGCGGGGGACAACAUUUGGAAACGAAUGCUAAUACCGCAUAAAAACUUUAAACACAAGUUUUAAGUUUGAAAGAUGCAAUUGCAUCACUCAAAGAUGAUCCCGCGUUGUAUUAGCUAGUUGGUGAGGUAAAGGCUCACCAAGGCGAUGAUACAUAGCCGACCUGAGAGGGUGAUCGGCCCCAUUGGGACUGGGACACGGCCCAAACUCCUACGGGAGGCAGCAGUAGGGAAUCUUCGGCAAUGGACGAAAGUCUGACCGAGCAACGCCGCGUGAGUGAAGAAGGUUUUCGGAUCGUAAAACUCUGUUGGUAGAGAAGAACGUUGGUGAGAGUGGAAAGCUCAUCAAGUGACGGUAACUACCCAGAAAGGGACGGCUAACUACGUG
This 497-nucleotide ribosomal RNA is filed under the name uncultured bacterium. Its description in RNAcentral is "partial 16S ribosomal RNA". It matches the Rfam family "Bacterial small subunit ribosomal RNA", at positions 28 to 507 of the family's 1533-position model. The record is from RNAcentral.